Long non-coding RNA from Lagopus muta (rock ptarmigan), 1462 nucleotides. RefSeq lists it as uncharacterized. The record is from RefSeq and is a predicted model, not a curated record. Lineage: Eukaryota; Metazoa; Chordata; Aves; Galliformes; Phasianidae. The transcript is spliced from 3 exons.
GAAGGCAGAGAAAUUCAGCAAGCAGCAAGCAGGAUGUCCUGCUCUCAGUAAGACAGAGAUGGACUUCCUGCAAUAUAGCAAGAAGGAUCAAACAGCAGAAAUUGACUGGUAGAUUUGGUGCGUGCUAACUUGAUUUUACCUUCAUGUUUUAAGCAGCUAAAAUAUCUUUGCAUCCCAGAGAUGACUUACUUGGGUUUCAGAGGCAGCUUACCAGAACAUCAAUCAAGUUUACCUUCAGUCCAAAACUCAAUUCUGCUCUCAGCAGCUUAGCUGUUUCAUCAGCAGUCACAGAGAAAGUCACAGCUGCUUUAUUUUAGUAAGGUAAGAAUAAUACCCUGUGUCUAAAGUGAACUAACAGAAGAGACAGAAACCAACAAUUACAGCUUUAAAAGUCUCAGUUCAGAAGCAGUAAAGCUUACUUUUGAAAAAUAAGCUGGUUUUGGCACAUAGUAUGUGAGGCAAAAGCAGUUCAUAGAAUCACAUCACAGAGUGACAGAAUGGCUGGGCUGGAAGGGACCUCAAGGAUCACGAAGCUCCAACCCCCCUGUGCCAUGCAGGGCCACCAACCUCCACAUUUCACAGCAGCCCAGGCUGCCCAGGGCCCCAUCCAACCUGGCCUUCAACACCUCCAGGGAUGGACGGGGCAUCACAGCCUCUCUGGGCAGCUGUUCCAGCACCUCACCACUCUCACAGCACACAACUUCCCCCUGACAUCCAACCUCCAUCUGCCCUCCCUCAACUCCAAACCAUUUCCCCUUGUCCUGCUGCCAUCUCCCCUUUCCAAGAGCUGACUCCCCUCCUGUCUGCAGGCUCCCUUUAGGCACUGCAGGCUGCACUGAGCUCACCCCGCAGCCUUCUUUUCUCCAUGCUGAACAAGCCCAGCUCCCUCAGCCUGUCUUCAUAAUAUUACAGUAUUACAAGCCAAAAAGAAUUCAGGCACUAGGAAAUGAAUUUCAGCACUAACUGCAAGCCAAUUUGUUAAUUACACGAAACAGUCAUUACUCACUGUUCAACAAUAAAUAAUUCUUUAUAAAAUUAACAAAAAUCAAAUGACACAAUGAUGUUCUGGGCUUGUUUAGCUUGGAGAAGAGAAGGCUCCAGGGAGACCUCAUGGUGGCCUUCCAGUGCUUGAAGGGAGCGGAUAAACAGGAGGGGAACGGCUGUGUGUGAGGGUGGAUGGUGAUGGGACAAGGGGAAUGGUUUUAAAGUGAGACAGGGGAGGUUUGGGUUGGAUAUGAGGAGGAAGUUUUGGAGCCAGAGGGUGGUGAGGCACUGGCACAGGUUGCCCAAGGAGGCUGUGGAUGCCCCAUCCCUGCAGGCAUUCAAGGCCAGGCUGGAUGUGGCUCUGGGCAGCCUGGGCUGCUGGUUGGUGACCUGCACACAGCAGGGGCUUGGAGCUGGAUGAGCACUGUGCUCCUGUGCAAACCAGGCCGUUCUGUGAUGCUGUGAUAUGAGCUGCCCU